Molecule: ribosomal RNA, 253 nt
Filed under: uncultured bacterium
Lineage: Bacteria
Description: partial 16S ribosomal RNA
Rfam family: Bacterial small subunit ribosomal RNA
Source: RNAcentral
UACGUAGGGUGCAAGCGUUAAUCGGAAUUACUGGGCGUAAAGCGCACGUAGGCGGCUCUGUAAGUUAGAGGUGAAAGCCCAGGGCUCAACCCUGGAAUUGCCUUUAAGACUGCAUCGCUUGAACAUCGGAGAGGUAAGUGGAAUUCCGAGUGUAGAGGUGAAAUUCGUAGAUAUUCGGAAGAACACCAGUGGCGAAGGCGACUUACUGGACGAUUGUUGACGCUGAGGUGCGAAAGCGUGGGGAGCGAACAGG